CAUAUUCAGUACAGAUUUAUAGCUUAGAAGCAAUAGGCUAUAAACUUGUAGCCUAUUGUACAGGUGAACAGUAAGUUAUACCAUCUAGGUUUGUGUAAGUACAGGCUAUGAUGUUCACACAAUGGUGAAAUUGCCUAACAAUGCAUUUCUUGGAACAUAUUUCCAUCAUCUUUGUCAUUAAACAACGUAUGGCCGUAUUCACCUCCUAGGUCU
This 213-nucleotide long non-coding RNA is filed under the name Homo sapiens (human). RNAcentral describes it as "non-protein coding lnc-PPP4R2-6:1". The record is from RNAcentral. Lineage: Eukaryota; Metazoa; Chordata; Mammalia; Primates; Hominidae.